This is a long non-coding RNA of Alligator mississippiensis (American alligator), 1029 nucleotides long. RefSeq lists it as uncharacterized. NCBI's taxonomy places the organism in Eukaryota, Metazoa, Chordata, Crocodylia, Alligatoridae. The record is from RefSeq and is a predicted model, not a curated record. The transcript is spliced from 2 exons.
GCUAGCUAGUCAGGUGACUGGAAGAGGGCAGGCCGGAACUAUAAAAACCCUAGGCUUAGUGGUAGUUGGGCCCAGCAGCCAAGGGGGAAGGAGUGUGUGUAUAAGAGCUCCACAGAGAGGCUUGGUGAGCUGUCCAGCUGCUGUGGGAGGGGAACUACUGAAGACUCUCAGGGAAGCGGUGGCAGCCCCAGAAGGACUGUAACAGAUGGUGGGAAGCAGAAGUCCAGAGCCCAGGAAAAAUCCAUGGACGUGUGUCUGAACCUCAGACCCCAGCUCACAAUGGAGUGGAAGCACGUGCAGGAAUACUGCCACAGGAAGUGAUGCUCCAGAGACCGCAUGAUGGACACUUUGGUGAGACAGCACAAACCCGAAUGGCCGCUGCAAAUGACUGGCAGAACAAAUUCUGGGAGGUGCUUAGGGUGGAUGAUGACUGAGUGGGAGAAUAGAAGCAUGGACAACACCAUAGAAUUUAUGAAACAGCUCCUAGACUGCACAGGCCAGUUUCUUGACCUGGCCACACAGUGCCGUGUAUAUCUGCAGGAGACACGCUCUUUGAUUAAGGACCAUGUCCUUCAGCCUGUGAACAAGCAUACCAUUCAUAAGUGCUGCCUCCUCCCCCCCUCCCCCCCCCCCCCCCCCCGAAAGUGUACAGUAGCUCCACUUGGCUUGCCUGUGUCCAGGAGGUAGCCAGGAGUAUUACAGUUGAGCCUGUUCACCAUCUGCAUUGCAGCCAACUGAGGGGUGGCCCAAUGCCUCCACUGCAGCCAGGAGAUCACCACUGCAGUUCAGGGAGCAAGAGAUGGGUCAGACAGGGGUUGCAUGGGUAGGAAAGAAAGCUAGUAAUGAAUUCCACUGCAGGUUACUGCUGCAGAUUUCUUCAAUGUGCAGCAACACAUGUAUAGAAAAGAAAGCCAACUGAUAGGAGAGGGGUUCCUAUUAGCUCUUAUGUCAGUAAUUUCUUGGUUUCCAUUAGUUAUGUGUGUGUUCCUUAGUAAGUUCUCAGGUGGAAUAAAACAGCAUUUCCCCCUG